AACACACUUCGGGAGGUCCAGGAAUGGCAAAGCCGUGCCUGUGCCAGGGAGCUGAACACUCAGAUCGUGUGAAGGGGCUGAGGCAGAAGGGGCAGACGGUGUGAGAGGGCGUCUCAUUCCCUCCUGGAGGAGCGUCUCUUGGGCUGUUUUUCAGUUAAGAAGUGGAUUUAUUUAGAGAGAAACACACUCCGCAGACCAGAGUGUGGGCCAUCUCAGAAGAGAAUUCUUCAUAAUUGGCAGCAUUAUGAUGGCUUCUUCCUAGUUUCUUCUGUGCAUGUCUCAAGGGUUUCCACAUCCGCAGACGGAAGAGCUUAAUCCUCCAUCAGUAUCCUCCGACGGCGCAUUCAGUUGAGGGCAGUGUCUUAUAUUCCGACGUCCGUUCACCCUCAUGCUUCACACAUACUCUACCACUGAUGGUUUCUUAGACUCUGGCUUUUGUCAGGCCCUUGAUAUCCACCAGUUACCCUUUGGUAAGAGAUUAAGCCAUUCCACUACUCUCCCAGAGGCAUUUGCAUUUAGAACUACAGGUAUAAUAGAAAUAAUGGAAGACGUUGCAUUCCUGAGGGAAGGCGAUCCUGGAAUGAAUUAUUCAUUUGCUCAUUCUAGAACAUCCCUGUCCAGUAGAUCUUUCUGCACCGAAGGAAAUGUUCUUCUGUGCUCUACAAUACGAUAGCUGCUAGCCAUGUGUGGCUAGUGUAACUGAGGAGCUGUGUUUUUCAUUUUAAUUAAAGUUAAAUUUAAAUUGACAAGAGGAAAGCAGGCAUUAUUAGGUUGCAUCCACUGGAUUGGUGAGAGACCCCUGACAACCCACUUGCCUGCCCUACUAUCCGAGCGCCCCCCAAAGGUAACUUUAAAAACGGGUCUUUCCAAGGUCGUGGGAAAGGACUUGGUGUGCCGCCACCACUUCUGCCUUUGGUCUCUGUGCCUUCCGCAGAGCUUCCAGCAGCGAUGCGUUGGGACAGAGUGUCUGGAGGCUCACGACCUCUGUGGUUCGGAGGAACCACUGUGAGGCAGGCCCAGGGAAGAAUUUGCCAUUUUCAAUGGAAAACAAGUGGCAGUUACUAAUUAUGAUGACUUUGUACUUUGGAUCUUGAUUUGCUACACCUUCCUUUAUAAUAAGCAGUUACUUAAGAAAUUAGGAUGUUUUAGUUAAUCCACGAAACAGGUAUGAAGAGCAGCUUUUUUUUUUUUUUUUUUUUUUUUUUAAGCUGUGUCAGGCAGCAUGCGGGAUCUUAGUUCCCCAACCAGGGAUCGAACACAUGCCCCCUGCAUUGGGAGCACGGAGUCUUAACCACUGGACCACCAGGGAAGUCCCAAGAGCAGCAUUUUAAGAGGUGCAAUUUCUUUGAAAAGUGGAUCAAACUCAUGACCUUAACAUACUAACUAUGUUUGUAAAUAAACUCAUGACAUAAAUCCUUAGUGCUUCUCUGAAAUAUGGAACGUGAUAAUCGAGCAUGUGCUUGCAUUUGUAUUUGGGUAAUAUUCCAGUAUUAGUUUCUUGAUUAAAUAUGUGUGUGAUCUUGGGACUUCCCAGCAGUCCAGUGCAGGGGGUGCAGGUUCGAUCCCUGGUCAGGGAGCUAAGAUCGCACAUGCUUCGCAGACAAAAAACCAAAACAUAAAACAGAAGUAAUAUUGUAAUAAAUUCAAUAAAGACUUAAAAAAAAAUGGUCCACAUCAAAAAAAAUCUUAAAAAAAAAAUGUGCGUUAUCUUAAAAAAAGGAAAGAAAAUGGGUCUUUGAAAUCAGAUGGGCUUUCUUUUCCCACCCCUCUAGCCUUGACCCCUCAGUGUGUCUCCCCAAGAAAGCAGAUGUCUGUGGCUGUCCCCCACAGGCCUCUCCUAGCCCUAGUUUUUCUCGCUCUUUGCCAUAGGACACUGCCCAUGCCUUUCCUUCUGUCCUGCCGCCCCCUCUCUCUAUUCCUGCUCGUGCCACGGUAAACCCUAACUUCCUCCAAGAAGACUUCCCCAACUCCUGUCCCUUCCAAAUGAGGCCAGUUUUAGGGCUCUGAACAGAUUCCAUUUGGCUUCCCGGUUGAGGGUGGAGGUGGCAGGGAUGGAUCUUAGGAAGAUGUAGCUGCAGGAUGGAUGUGCAUUAGGUCACUGCAUUUCAAACUUCCAGUGAAAAAUGUAUGUCCCAACUACCGCACACGCCUACAUACAGAUAUAUAAAACUGAAACAAAAAUUUUGUAAAAAUAACACUCACUAUGUGUGAUGCAUUUGGA
Long non-coding RNA from Balaenoptera ricei (Rice's whale), 2221 nucleotides. RefSeq lists it as uncharacterized. The record is from RefSeq and is a predicted model, not a curated record. Lineage: Eukaryota; Metazoa; Chordata; Mammalia; Artiodactyla; Balaenopteridae. The transcript is spliced from 4 exons.